GAUGAACGCUGGCGGCGUGCCUAAUACAUGCAAGUCGAGCGAACAGACGAGGAGCUUGCUCCUCUGACGUUAGCGGCGGACGGGUGAGUAACACGUGGAUAACCUACCUAUAAGACUGGGAUAACUUCGGGAAACCGGAGCUAAUACCGGAUAAUAUAUUGAACCGCAUGGUUCAAUAGUGAAAGACGGUUUUGCUGUCACUUAUAGAUGGAUCCGCGCCGCAUUAGCUAGUUGGUAAGGUAACGGCUUACCAAGGCAACGAUGCGUAGCCGACCUGAGAGGGUGAUCGGCCACACUGGAACUGAGACACGGUCCAGACUCCUACGGGAGGCAGCAGUGGGGAAUCUUCCGCAAUGGGCGAAAGCCUGACGGAGCAACGCCGUGUGAGUGAUGAAGGUCUUCGGAUCGUAAAACUCUGUUAUUAGGGAAGAACAAAUGUGUAAGUAACUAUGCACGUCUUGACGGUACCUAAUCAGAAAGCCACGGCUAACUACGUG
This 497-nucleotide ribosomal RNA is filed under the name uncultured bacterium. Its description in RNAcentral is "partial 16S ribosomal RNA". It matches the Rfam family "Bacterial small subunit ribosomal RNA", at positions 28 to 507 of the family's 1533-position model. The record is from RNAcentral.